GAAGCUGCGGCAGCGACGCUGAUGCGUUGUUGGGUAGGGGAGCGUUCUGUAAGCCUGUGAAGGUGUACUGUGAGGUAUGCUGGAGGUAUCAGAAGUGCGAAUGCUGACAUAAGUAACGAUAAAGCGGGUGAAAAGCCCGCUCGCCGGAAGACCAAGGGUUCCUGUCCAACGUUAAUCGGGGCAGGGUGAGUCGACCCCUAAGGCGAGGCCGAAAGGCGUAGUCGAUGGGAAACAGGUUAAUAUUCCUGUACUUGGUGUUACUGCGAAGGGGGGACGGAGAAGGCUAUGUUGGCCGGGCGACGGUUGUCCCGGUUUAAGCGUGUAGGCUGGUUUUCCAGGCAAAUCCGGAAAAUCAAGGCUGAGGCGUGAUGACGAGGCACUACGGUGCUGAAGCAACAAAUGCCCUGCUUCCAGGAAAAGCCUCUAAGCAUCAGGUAACAUCAAAUCGUACCCCAAACCGACACAGGUGGUCAGGUAGAGAAUACCAAGGCGCUUGAGAGAACUCGGGUGAAGGAACUAGGCAAAAUGGUGCCGUAACUUCGGGAGAAGGCACGCUGAUAUGUAGGUGAAGUCCCUCGCGGAUGGAGCUGAAAUCAGUCGAA
This 602-nucleotide ribosomal RNA is filed under the name Escherichia coli. Its description in RNAcentral is "bacterial LSU rRNA". It matches the Rfam family "Bacterial large subunit ribosomal RNA", at positions 1196 to 1791 of the family's 2925-position model. Lineage: Bacteria; Pseudomonadati; Pseudomonadota; Gammaproteobacteria; Enterobacterales; Enterobacteriaceae. The record is from RNAcentral.